Molecule: ribosomal RNA, 490 nt
Filed under: uncultured bacterium
Lineage: Bacteria
Description: partial 16S ribosomal RNA
Rfam family: Bacterial small subunit ribosomal RNA
Source: RNAcentral
AUUGAACGCUGGCGGCAGGCCUAACACAUGCGAGUCGAACGGUAACAGGAAGAAUCUUGCUUCUUUGCUGACGAGUGGCGGACGGGUGAGUAAUGUCUGGGAAACUGCCUGAUGGAGGGGGAUAACUACUGGAAACGGUAGCUAAUACCGCAUAACGUCGCAAGACCAAAGAGGGGGACCUUCGGGCCUCUUGCCAUCGGAUGUGCCCAGAUGGGAUUAGCUAGUUGGUGGGGUAACGGCUCACCUAGGCGACGAUCCCUAGCUGGUCUGAGAGGAUGACCAGCCACACUGGAACUGAGACACGGUCCAGACUCCUACGGGAGGCAGCAGUGGGGAAUAUUGCACAAUGGGCGCAAGCCUGAUGCAGCCAUGCCGCGUGUAUGAAGAAGGCCUUCGGGUUGUAAAGUACUUUCAGCGGGGAGGAAGGGAGUAAAGUUAAUACCUUUGCUCAUUGACGUUACCCGCAGAAGAAGCACCGGCUAACUCCGUG